This is a non-coding RNA of Coturnix japonica (Japanese quail), 480 nucleotides long. Lineage: Eukaryota; Metazoa; Chordata; Aves; Galliformes; Phasianidae. The record is from RefSeq and is a predicted model, not a curated record.
CCUGCUCUGACCAAAGAUGUGCUCCCGUGCUGACAGAGGCUGCCACAGCUCUGAGAGCUCCUCCUGCCACAGCGGCCGUUCCUCCUGCCAUGGCUCCGAGGAGGUCACCUGCCAUGAAGUGAGAGCUGUGCAGGACGAGACCCCCGUGGUGGUCCUCCAGCCUCAGGUCCCCGUGGUCACCGUGCCUGCUCAGGGCCCUGUGGCUCCCGUCCCAUGCCAGCAGCAGCAGCAGCAGAUCAAGCAGCCUGUGCAAUGGCCCACGCAGCAGCAGAAGUGAAGGGGCUGUGCUCAUCCCUCACCUCUGCAGGGCACAGCCCUGAGCAGGAGAAGCUCCUGCCCCUUCUCUCCAGCACGUAUUGCCUCUCCUGAUGCUGUGACGUGGCAUUGGCACAUCAGAAAUGUGAUUUGCCUUCUUGCAUUUGUAUCCGUUAUUCUCCUGCUUCUGUAUCCAGUAGCAAAGACGUGAUAUUAAAAUGUAAA